RNAcentral lists this ribosomal RNA (460 nucleotides) under uncultured bacterium. Its description in RNAcentral is "partial 16S ribosomal RNA". It matches the Rfam family "Bacterial small subunit ribosomal RNA", at positions 338 to 795 of the family's 1533-position model. The record is from RNAcentral.
CCUACGGGAGGCAGCAGUGAGGAAUAUUGGUCAAUGGACGAGAGUCUGAACCAGCCAAGUAGCGUGAAGGAUGACUGCCCUAUGGGUUGUAAACUUCUUUUAUAUGGGAAUAAAAUGUUCCACGUGUGGGAUUUUGUAUGUACCAUAUGAAUAAGGAUCGGCUAACUCCGUGCCAGCAGCCGCGGUAAUACGGAGGAUCCGAGCGUUAUCCGGAUUUAUUGGGUUUAAAGGGAGCGUAGGUGGGUUGGUAAGUCCGUUGUGAAAGUUUGCGGCUCAAACGUAAAAUUGCAGUUGAAACUGGCGGUCUUGAGUACAGUAGAGGUGGGCGGAAUGCGUGGUGUAGCGGUGAAAUGCAUAGAUAUCACGAAGAACUCCGAUUGCGAAGGCAGCUCACUGGACUGCAACUGACACUGAGGCUCGAAAGUGUGGGUAUCAAACAGGAUUAGAUACCCCAGUAGUC